Molecule: ribosomal RNA, 425 nt
Filed under: uncultured bacterium
Lineage: Bacteria
Description: partial 16S ribosomal RNA
Rfam family: Bacterial small subunit ribosomal RNA
Source: RNAcentral
GUGGGGAAUCUUAGACAAUGGGGGAAACCCUGAUCUAGCCAUGCCGCGUGAGCGAUGAAGGCCUUAGGGUUGUAAAGCUCUUUCAGCUGGGAAGAUAAUGACGGUACCAGCAGAAGAAGCCCCGGCUAACUCCGUGCCAGCAGCCGCGGUAAUACGGAGGGGGCUAGCGUUGUUCGGAAUUACUGGGCGUAAAGCGCACGUAGGCGGACUGGAAAGUCAGGGGUGAAAUCCCGGGGCUCAACCCCGGAACUGCCUUUGAAACUCCCAGUCUUGAGUUCGAGAAAGAUGAGUGGAAUUCCGAGUGUAGAGGUGAAAUUCGUAGAUAUUCGGAGGAACACCAGUGGCGAAGGCGGCUCACUGGCUCGAUACUGACGCUGAGGUGCGAAAGCGUGGGGAGCAAACAGGAUUAGAUACCCUAGUAGUCC